GAUGAACGCUAGCUACAGGCCUAACACAUGCAAGUCGAGGGGCAGCGGGAAGGAAGCUUGCUUUCUUCGCCGGCGACCGGCGCACGGGUGCGUAACGCGUAUCGAACCUACCCUUUACUCGGGAACAGCCUUGCGAAAGCAAGAUUAAUGCCCGAUGUUCCGCGUUUGCUGCAUGGCAAAUUCGGCAAAGAUUUAUUGGUAAAGGAUGGCGAUGCGUCCCAUUAGUUAGUUGGCGGGGUAACGGCCCACCAAGACGACGAUGGGUAGGGGUUCUGAGAGGAAGGUCCCCCCACAUUGGAACUGAGACACGGUCCAAACUCCUACGGGAGGCAGCAGUGAGGAAUAUUGGUCAAUGGGCGGAAGCCUGAACCAGCCAAGUAGCGUGCAGGAAGACGGCCCUAUGGGUUGUAAACUGCUUUUAUAAGGGAAUAAAGUGAGUCUCGUGAGACUUUUUGCAUGUACCUUAUGAAUAAGGACCGGCUAAUUCCGUG
RNAcentral lists this ribosomal RNA (491 nucleotides) under uncultured bacterium. Its description in RNAcentral is "bacterial SSU rRNA". It matches the Rfam family "Bacterial small subunit ribosomal RNA", at positions 28 to 507 of the family's 1533-position model. The record is from RNAcentral.